Molecule: non-coding RNA, 76 nt
Organism: Candidatus Pacearchaeota archaeon CG1_02_35_32
Lineage: Archaea; Nanobdellati
Source: Rfam
AGCGGGGUGGAGCAGUCUGGAGUGCUCACCGGGCCCAUAACCCGGAGGUCGCGUGGUUCAAAUCCCGCCCCCGCUA